RNAcentral lists this ribosomal RNA (500 nucleotides) under uncultured bacterium. RNAcentral describes it as "partial 16S ribosomal RNA". It matches the Rfam family "Bacterial small subunit ribosomal RNA", at positions 30 to 523 of the family's 1533-position model. The record is from RNAcentral.
AUUGAACGCUGGCGGCAUGCCUUGCACAUGCAAGUCGAACGGCAGCACGGGAGCAAUCCUGGUGGCGAGUGGCGAACGGGUGAGUAAAGUAUCGGAACGUGCCCAGUCGUGGGGGAUAACGUAGCGAAAGUUUCGCUAAUACCGCAUACGAUCUAUGGAUGAAAGCGGGGGAUCGCAAGACCUCGCGCGAUUGGAGCGGCCGAUAUCAGAUUAGGUAGUUGGUGGGGUAAAGGCUCACCAAGCCGACGAUCUGUAGCUGGUCUGAGAGGACGACCAGCCACACUGGGACUGAGACACGGACCAGACUCCUACGGGAGGCAGCAGUGGGGAAUUGUGGACAAUGGGCGAAAGCCUGAUCCAGCCAUGCCGCGUGCAGGAUGAAGGCCUUCGGGUUGUAAACUGCUUUUGUACGGAACGAAAAGGUUUGGCCUAAUAAGCUGAGCUCAUGACGGUACCGUAAGAAUAAGCACCGGCUAACUACGUGCCAGCAGCCGCCGUAA